This 88-nucleotide transfer RNA is filed under the name Lasiosphaeria ovina. RNAcentral's name for it is "tRNA-Asp". It matches the Rfam family "tRNA". Rfam says of the family: Transfer RNA (tRNA) molecules are approximately 80 nucleotides in length. The record is from RNAcentral. RNAcentral also lists the same sequence under 1 other name. Lineage: Eukaryota; Fungi; Ascomycota; Sordariomycetes; Sordariales; Lasiosphaeriaceae.
UCUUCCGUAGUAUAGUGGUCAGUAUAUGAGCUUGUCAACUUCACAGAAGACUCCGCUCGGGACCCGGGUUCAAUUCCCGGCGGGAGAG